AGAGUGCUUAAACAUUUGGUGACAAGUUCAAGCCUUCUUUGAAAAUUAAGGCCAUUUAUGUUGAGAAUCACAAGAAUAACUUGGUCAUCAAUUGAAAGACAUGUCUCAAUUAGGUCAAAUAGUGUCUGCGUGAUCCUAUCAAGAGGAACAGAAAGAAAAUCAACUCCACAAAAGCAUGAGUCAUUCAAAAUGAGGGAUGUACAACAAAUGUGGAGUUGUAUGUUUGAAAAGUAUAGAAAA
Molecule: long non-coding RNA, 240 nt
Filed under: Capsicum annuum
Lineage: Eukaryota; Viridiplantae; Streptophyta; Magnoliopsida; Solanales; Solanaceae
Description: long non-coding RNA (CANN_LNC001375)
Source: RNAcentral